This 466-nucleotide ribosomal RNA is filed under the name uncultured bacterium. RNAcentral's name for it is "partial 16S ribosomal RNA". It matches the Rfam family "Bacterial small subunit ribosomal RNA", at positions 27 to 507 of the family's 1533-position model. The record is from RNAcentral.
GGACGAACGCUGGCGGCGUGCUUAACACAUGCAAGUCGAACGGAAAGGCCCUGCUUGCAGGGUACUCGAGUGGCGAACGGGUGAGUAACACGUGGGUGAUCUGCCCUGCACUUCGGGAUAAGCCUGGGAAACUGGGUCUAAUACCGGAUAGGAGCCAUUUUUAGUGUGAUGGUUGGAAAGUUUUUUCGGUGUAGGAUGAGCUCGCGGCCUAUCAGCUUGUUGGUGGGGUAAUGGCCUACCAAGGCGGCGACGGGUAGCCGGCCUGAGAGGGUGGACGGCCACAUUGGGACUGAGAUACGGCCCAGACUCCUACGGGAGGCAGCAGUGGGGAAUAUUGCACAAUGGGCGCAAGCCUGAUGCAGCGACGCCGCGUGGGGGAUGACGGCCUUCGGGUUGUAAACUCCUUUCGCUAGGGACGAAGCUUUUUGUGACGGUACCUAGAUAAGAAGUACCGGCUAACUACGUG